RNAcentral lists this ribosomal RNA (253 nucleotides) under uncultured bacterium. RNAcentral describes it as "partial 16S ribosomal RNA". It matches the Rfam family "Bacterial small subunit ribosomal RNA", at positions 524 to 776 of the family's 1533-position model. The record is from RNAcentral.
UACGAAGGGUGCAAGCGUUACUCGGAAUUACUGGGCGUAAAGCGUGCGUAGGUGGUUCGUUAAGUCUGUCGUGAAAGCCCCGGGCUCAACCUGGGAAUGGCGAUGGAUACUGGCGGGCUAGAGUGCGGUAGAGGAGAGUGGAAUUCCCGGUGUAGCAGUGAAAUGCAUAGAGAUCGGGAGGAACAUCAGUUGCGAAGGCGGCUCUCUGGACCAGCACUGACACUGAGGCACGAAAGCGUGGGGAGCAAACAGG